AUACACGCUGGCGGCGUGCAUGAGACAUGCACGUCGCACGAAGGAUCGGGCUUGCUCGAUCCUUAGUGGCGGACGGCUGAGUAACGCGUAGGUGACCUACCCCGAAGUGGGGAAUAACUGCCCGAAAGGGUGGCUAAUACCGCAUGUGGUCGCACGUUCAUUCGUGCGAGUAAAGCCGCAAGGCGCUUCGGGAGGGGCCUGCGUCCGAUUAGCUCGUUGGUGGGGUAAUGGCUUACCAAGGCGACGAUCGGUAGGUGGUCUGAGAGGACGAUCACCCAGACUGGGACUGAGACACGGCCCAGACUCCUACGGGAGGCAGCAGUCGGGAAUUUUGCUCAAUGGGGGAAACCCUGAAGCAGCAACGCCGCGUGAGGGAUGAAGGCCUUCGGGUUGUAAACCUCUUUUGUCAGGGACGAUGAUGACGGUACCUGGCGAAUAAGCCACGGCUAACUACGUG
This 457-nucleotide ribosomal RNA is filed under the name uncultured bacterium. Its description in RNAcentral is "partial 16S ribosomal RNA". It matches the Rfam family "Bacterial small subunit ribosomal RNA", at positions 33 to 507 of the family's 1533-position model. The record is from RNAcentral.